UCCCCCAGAGCCGACAACAUGUAAUCAGUUUUCCUUAACAAGUGACCUCCUUUAACUUCGUUAGUUCAUAAUUGAUUUGCUAGCAUGUAACCAAGAUAAUUAACACUCCUGAUUAGAGGCAGCCAAGAGAAGGAAGCUCUUUUUUUCAUGGCCAAGGCAAAUAUUGACUAAAAUUCGAGCUGUUUCCUAAGUUUCCUUACAAUUUAAUUCAUGGAAGGUGGUGGUCAGUGAUUUGUGGUUUUUAGUUAAAAAAUUAAAAUGGAGGCAAGAUGAAUGGGUCUGGCUACAGAACACUUUAUGACUGACUCAUAUUUUGGAUACAUGUGCUAUUUUCCUUUUCCUCAAAUACAAAGAUAUGAAGCAAGAGAAUCAAGUGGCAACCGAAUAGAUUUAAUGGAGACUUUGAACACCUGGAGAGACUUCCACUUGUCAGGAGCGGGUAGGGAGAGGGGAGAAAGACGCACCGGACCUAAUAAGGAUCCUAAGCAUGAGCAUCAUCUUUUGAGUGGUCCUGUCUACUGUAGUUUACAAAGGUCUUUCACUUCCUUGUCUCAUUGGGUUCCCACACAGCUCUGUGAUGAGGACGGCAGGGAAGGACCGACUGACAGGGCGUUUCAGAUGAGAGGUGGGACCGAGUUGAGGAAGUGGAGCCAAAGCCAGGAACUGCGCCCCCUGCAGACUGCACCCUGCACCUGUCUGUCUUUCCUGAAGGCUGAUGCAAAUAUUGGGUGAUUUAGGGCUUUUUGUAUCUCUGCUUCCCGUGCAAGUAUUAUCAGUGAGGUAAGAAAGGGGCCCAGGCCACAGACUGUAAGGAGCCCUCACUCUCGGGCCCCUGCAUUUUGUGCCCUUCCCGCCCUGCUUGUUUCACGCCCUGCACCAGCGCUUGCUGACCUCUGUUUCAAGCUUACUCCCUGCCAGGCGCUGUGCCACUCAUUUUUAUGCAUCCUCAUUUAAUCCUCACAACCCCCACCGGUGACGUGAGUAUUAGUGGGUCUCCAUUUUUACCGACGAGGACGACAGGCCUUGGAGAGGGAGUAACUUGUCCAAAGUCGCGAGGCUGGAAAAGAAGAGGCUGGUUGGGGUCCUGGCCAUCUGGCUCCAGGGCUCUGCUUGUCCAGGUUUCCCAGGUAAAGAAACGCUUGGACCUGGACAUCCCCUACUCACGCGCAGUUUGCUCAGCCAGCCCUCAUGGGAGAGUCGUUGGAGAGGGGCUGGGGAAGGGAGAGAAGCCCAGUUCCGCGUGUGGCCUGGGAACAUGGGCGAGAUGUGUGUGAGUGAAGGUGGAGAGGGCAGCGGCCACAGGAAGGAAGCAAGGGAUCUCAUUGGGUCCCCUCAGGCGGGCAGGCCCUGCCGAUAAAAACUCGGCUGCUUUCACCACAGCCUCUUGCUGGCUCCCAACAUCAAACACAAAAUUCCCCCAGGGCAUUCUGCUCCUCUCCCAUCCUGGGAUGAAGCCUCUCCUGGGGGAUGGAGGAUGCAGUGGGCGUGCUCAGCGGGGCUGGGGUUUGGGGUUCCGGUGGUGGCCAGCUCUAAACUUUGGAAGCCGAUGGGAGGGCUGCUUUCUGGGAGUCCUUCUGGGAGUCCCCUCAUCCCUAGGCCAAGGAGCAUUUGUCUUUGGGGGAAGGAAAGCUGGGGGCAAGAGGUAGGCACUGCAGGGGUAGCAGAGAUCUCCGGGGCCCUGGGAGGCGCUUUGAGGGAGCCAGCCUAGAUUCCUGCCCGCAGGGAGGUCAGAACCAGAACAGCAGCUGAUCUGAUAGGCUGUGAUCUAUAAUUUAUACCCAGCUCCUUCUAGAAAGGACUGGCGGCUGCCUGCCAGGGGAUUUGUAGCUGUAAGUUUUGCUUUGAUGAAGCUAAGGGAUUUCAGGUUGUCCCUCUGGUUGGGUGUUCCUGAAUUAACACCAUCUGCGAAGCUCUUGCCCACAGGUUAACCUCUUUAUCCUCACGGCACUGCUGCAGAGCCCGAAUGAUUAUGUGACAGAUGGGGAAACUGAGGCUCAAAGGGUGAAGUGACUUGCCUAAGAUCCCACUCCUGGGGAAGAGACGAUUUAAGUCCAGGACUGUUCGUUUCGGGCAGCAUUCAAGAUUGUUGCCUGGGAAGCAGAUGGUGAUACCAUUUAAAACCUCUGAUUGAAAUCCCCUUGGUGCCUAUAGGCAUUGUAGGCAGGACCCAGCUCUACAAGUUAGCCAGCUGGUUCUAGACACCCACUGAACUCUGGCUUCUAUUUCCCUGUGAUGAUUUCCACGCAAAACAUGGGUCUUGGCUGGUCCUGAACGGACUGUCUUUUGUUGAGUAAGGAGGGAGGGGCUGGGAUCUGGCAAUCUGUAUACUUUGUACAUGCAGACCCAGCCAUGAGGCUAUCUAUUACCCUCCUCUCCAAUUAGAGGGUUCCAUUGUAGAUGACGAGGUCCUUAAGAAGGUGGCUCUGAAGUCGGACUGCCUGGUUCCAAUGUUGGCUCUGCCGUGGGGUGAUGGGUUAGUCCUCGGGCUGCCGUAACAAAAUCCCACAGGCUGAGUGGCUUAAACGCCAGAAGUUUAUUCUCUCACAGUUCUGAGGCUAGAAGUGCAAGGUCAAGGUGUGGGCAGGUCUGCUUUCUUCUGAGGCCUCUCUCCAUGGCUUGCAGAUGGCCACCUUCUCACCAUUUCCUCACAUGGGCUCUCCUCGGUGUGCAUCCCUGCUGUCUCUUCCUCUUCUUCUAAGCACAUCGGUCACGCUGAAUUAGGGCCCCAUCCUUACGACCUCAUUUAACUCUAGCUACCUCUUUAAAGGGCCUAUCUCCUAACACGCUCACAGUAGGGGUUACGGAUUCAACAGAUGAAUUCUGGAGGAAUGUAAUUUAGUCCAUGAGAGGUGAACAUAGGCAGGAGCCUCCCUAAGCCUCAGUUUCCUCCUCUGUUACAGGGGCAUAAAAAAAGUAAUCAUUCCAUAGGAUUGUUGAGGGAAUUAAGCGAGAUAACACACGUAGAACAAUGCCUGGCACUCAGCACGUGCUCAGUGUGCUGGGUACCAUCACCAUCAUCCCUGCAGUAUCUCCAUCAGUCUAGAGGGAACUACCAGGACCCAGGACACUGCUGGUUUCAAGCCUCAGGUCCUGCUUGUCAUUUAUGGUUCAAGGUUGAGUCACGGAGGAUCAGAGAGGCAAGGAUCUUGACCCUUGACACCAAAUGCUGAUUUUACAAAUGAGGAAACUGAGGCCAAGCUCAUCUAGGGUCAGAAUGCCAGUAACCUGUCCCCUGCCUGGUGUUCUCAAGGCUUUUUGAACCAUUUCAGUGACCAGUAGGGGCCAGGAGAAGCUCCCACUUUCUGUUGGGGCAGCCCACGAAGUAUCUGGACAAUUCAGUUCAUUUUUUCCCUUAAUGUUUUAGGGACUGUUUCUCUCAUGCGUAGUGCAGUGCCUGUCACAUAAUGAAUGAAUAAAGGCCAUUAAUUACCAAAUUCUUGGGGACAUGCCUCCCCAGCCCAGCCCCUCUCCAUAAAGCCAGUGUUUCAGCUCCUGGUGUGAUAACAUCAAACCCUUCCAAGGACAGCAGAGCGUUACCUUUCCUCGUCCCAUCCAUGCACCUGUGUCUCCCUGGGAAUUUGGAUGGAAGUACUAAUAAUCCACCAGGCUCCUGUCAGAAGGGCAUGAUGACUCACUUGUUUUGACAGUAUAAUAUCUCCAGUUAAAAAUAAUGCAGAAGCUGAAACCCCAAAAUCCCAACAAGGCCUGGCAGCUCAGCUGGUUUCCAACUGAACGUCCGCUCCCGCCAUCUUCCUUCCAGCAGAACCCCAAAUGUGCUCAGGUAUGGGUGCCGUGUCCUCGGUGGGGGUCCGCCUCCAGCUCAGCUCUCUCUCCUUUGCCAACGAUCGUUUUAGGGCUGGGCCUGUGACCCAGUUCUGGCCGCUGGAACUUGAGGAAAGUCUUCUGGGGACUUGAUUUAGAUGAGAAGCACCCUCCCCCAGCUUGGGGUCAUGGGAUGUUGGUGCUUGGGGAAGCGAUACCUGUAGCUGCCAUCUUACAAGCGGGAAGGCGAGGUCAACACAAUGGACUCUUGGAGGAUGUGACCUGCGCCCUGUGAACCCAGCCUGGAACCUCCAACCUCCAGACUCCUCAUUAGCCUCUAUUGUUUGAGCCGGGUUUGCUCAGGUGUUACUUGCAGCCAAAGCCGUCCCAGCUGAAGCUAGGCUGGUGGUGAAGCCCUUGGCCAGAUGCAGCUGAGGGAAAGCGUCUGUUCCUACUCAAGGAUGGAGGAGGUUUAAGGGCGCUGGAUACAGUUCUCAGUCUUGAUGUCUCACCAUGUGACUAGUGGUCAGAUGGUCCUCCUCCCGCACCUUGUGUGAUGGGCCAGUGGGCACUGCCCUGAGGAACGGGGUGAGGCGUUCGGACCCCAGCCUCACUUGCGUUCAUACCUCCUCAGCUUCAGAUCAGGGCGCUCUGCGUUCCCGUGGCUGUUCCUUCACCACCAUCUCCACAGCUCGUCCUAUUUCUGGAAUUAAAUUUCACUUGCAGAUCGAGUAAGCAGCUACUGAGGACCACACAUGCGCCGGGCUGUAUAUGCCCCACGCUGGACCCCUCCGCGUAGAGCGUCUGAUUUCCGAGUCUCCAAAGCGGGCAUGGCGAUCACUGCAUUGCGCAGAUGGGAAGGAACUGCUGGUGGGAGCAGGAUGGGGAAGGACCCUCUGUGGCUGGUGGAUUCUCAGAGGCUAUGCUGCGUUUUCCUUCCUCUUUGCCUCCAUCAUCCCUGGAUCCGAAUCUCCUGGAGAAAGCGCACAGGGAGAUGUGGGCUCCCACUCAGAAGGGGAACUGGGGAGCUCAGGGCUUCUCUCUGGCCCCCGGAUGAAUCCUGUGAGUCACCUGCUCCAGCACCCUGAGGGGAAGGGGCCUGAAAUGUCCC
RNAcentral lists this long non-coding RNA (4873 nucleotides) under Equus asinus (donkey). Its description in RNAcentral is "lncRNA (ENSEASG00005031279.1)". Lineage: Eukaryota; Metazoa; Chordata; Mammalia; Perissodactyla; Equidae. The record is from RNAcentral.